CGGGCGGCGGCCGGGCCCGGACGCGGAGUGGAAGGCGCGGCAGAGGGGGAGCUGGCGGCCCGUUUUCCGGGGUUUGGCCGCGACAAUUCGAACUGGACAACUCAGGCCCAGAUCCGGUCCGAGCCGCCCUCCCGGCGAGGAGGCAGCAGGGCCCGAGGGAGGGGGGCCGCCGGGCGGGACCAGGGCGCAGGCUUCGGCCGGCGGGGCCCCCACCCUGAGGGCUCCCCGAACUGGAGGCGCCCGGCCGACCUCGACCUGCCCUGCGCUCCUGGGAGCGGGGCGCUCAGGGGUGAUGCGCGUUGGAGCCGCGGCUGGGAAGGAGGAAGGGCGAGUCCCGGCCGCGACCAGCCUGUCCAGCCAGGAGUGUCUGUCCCGCGGCCCCGCUGGGGCGCCAGGGAGACCCCGCAGACCGCAGCGUGCGGAGCGAGCCCCUGUGGGCGGCCGCGGUGCAGAGGCCACUGGGUGCAGCCUCCUCUCCCAGGCGACAGCUCCAGACCCCGCGGGGGUGUCCUCUCCCCCGCACCCCGACACUGAGUUCCGUUCCGGGCGGGAUUGAGGAGCAGCACCACCAGGCAGAGCCGGCAGCAGGGAAGAGGGGCGGCUAGUUCUGGGGGCACCCACCUCCCACCACAGGUCCCCUCGCCCAGGCUGGGCCCAGGCCCCCGUGUCCCUCAAGGCCUGGCCGCUGUGGGCCCUGAGGCCGCCCCCUGGGAGACGCACCCUCAGGUGGGCCUGCACCCCCCGCCCCCCGCCCCGCUCCCAUCCACCGCCCUCAGCCGCUCGGAGCUGGGAUUCUGAGGCCUCGCGGCCAGAAGCAGCCCCACGAUGGGACACGUUCCAGACCUGGACGCGCUGGCCCCGCGCCCACAGCCGCCCGCCCAUGACUCUCACCAUUGAAGUUUCUCUCUCUCAAUCUCCCUUCCUCUCUCUGAAAUCAAUAAAAAUAUAGUUU
Molecule: long non-coding RNA, 952 nt
Organism: Myotis myotis
Lineage: Eukaryota; Metazoa; Chordata; Mammalia; Chiroptera; Vespertilionidae
Exons: 2
Source: RefSeq, a predicted model, not a curated record